GUUGAUGGAUAAUAAAAUCAUGAGUGUAGCCUUUAAAACAUUUGUCAGAUCCGAUCGCUCAACCUAAUGGAAAGAUAAUCUAUCUAUAUUUAUGUUGUUUUUUUUUAUAAAAUAUAUCUUCCAAAGAUUGAGUGUGCAACAUUUUAGGUCAUAUGAUUAGGAGUGUGGGCUCACAAAGGUAGAAGGACUAAACAUAUUGAAUCGAUUGGGUUGGUUAAUCUAGAGUUGUAAAUCAUACAUGUUUGUCUCGUUUAUUCAUGUGAACGCCCGAACCAAGGAAAAGCUUAUAGAAGUGAUAGUC
Molecule: long non-coding RNA, 301 nt
Filed under: Sorghum bicolor (sorghum)
Lineage: Eukaryota; Viridiplantae; Streptophyta; Magnoliopsida; Poales; Poaceae
Description: long non-coding RNA (SBIC_LNC008878)
Source: RNAcentral